This 253-nucleotide ribosomal RNA is filed under the name uncultured bacterium. Its description in RNAcentral is "partial 16S ribosomal RNA". It matches the Rfam family "Bacterial small subunit ribosomal RNA", at positions 524 to 776 of the family's 1533-position model. The record is from RNAcentral.
UACGUAGGUGACCAGCGUUGUCCGGAUUUACUGGGCGUAAAGAGCGCGCAGGCGGUCGUUCAAGUCGAGUGUGAAAGCCCCCGGCUCAACUGGGGAGGGUCAUUCGAUACUGAUCGACUCGAAGGCAGGAGAGGGAAGCGGAAUUCCCGGUGUAGUGGUGAAAUGCGUAGAUAUCGGGAGGAACACCAGUGGCGAAGGCGGCUUCCUGGCCUGUUCUUGACGCUGAGGCACGAAGGCCAGGGGAGCAAACGGG